GUAGGUGGCAAGCGUUAUCCGGAAUUAUUGGGCGUAAAGCGCGCGCAGGCGGUUUCUUAAGUCUGAUGUGAAAGCCCACGGCUCAACCGUGGAGGGUCAUUGGAAACUGGGGAACUUGAGUGCAGAAGAGAAAGCGGAAUUCCACGUGUAGCGGUGAAAUGCGUAGAGAUGUGGAGGAACACCAGUGGCGAAGGCGGCUUUUUUGGUCUGUAACUGACGCUGAGGCGCGAAAGCGUGGGGAGCAAACAGGAUUAGAUACCCUGGUAGUCCACGCCGUAAACGAUGAGUGCUAAGUGUUAGAGGGUUUCCGCCCCUUUAGUGCUGCAGCUAACGCAUUAAGCACUCCGCCUGGGGAUACGGUCGCAAGACUG
This 371-nucleotide ribosomal RNA is filed under the name uncultured organism. Its description in RNAcentral is "partial 16S ribosomal RNA". It matches the Rfam family "Bacterial small subunit ribosomal RNA", at positions 527 to 896 of the family's 1533-position model. The record is from RNAcentral.